UAAAAUAAAGCUUUUGUAGCGGCUCAGUUGCAUUGAGUAGGGCCUUCGCAGGUAUUUUAG
This 60-nucleotide transfer RNA is filed under the name Jesogammarus hinumensis. Its description in RNAcentral is "tRNA-Ala". Lineage: Eukaryota; Metazoa; Arthropoda; Malacostraca; Amphipoda; Anisogammaridae. The record is from RNAcentral.